This 247-nucleotide ribosomal RNA is filed under the name Sceloporus poinsettii. RNAcentral's name for it is "partial 12S ribosomal RNA". It matches the Rfam family "Bacterial small subunit ribosomal RNA", at positions 869 to 1235 of the family's 1533-position model. Lineage: Eukaryota; Metazoa; Chordata; Lepidosauria; Squamata; Phrynosomatidae. The record is from RNAcentral.
CCGCCAGAAAAUUACGAGCGAAAAGCUUUAAACUCAAAGGACUUGGCGGUGCUCCAUACCGACUUAGAGGAGCCUGUCCUAUAAUCGAUACCCCACGCUAAACCUCACCAAUCUUUGCCAAAUCAGCCUAUAUACCGCCGUCGUCAACCCACCUCAUGAGAGAAAAACAGUGAGUACAAAAGUUUAAAAACUAAAACGUCAGGUCAAGGUGUAGCUAAUAGAAUGGGAGAGAUGGGCUACAUUUUUU